CCGGUGCAAGCGAAGUAGUCGCAGGGUUGGAAAAUCCGCCCUGCAUGAGACGAAGGCGUGAUGCGGAGCGAAAUGAAGUAGUGAAGCUGCGGCCCCUUCCUGUCGAGAAAAGCCGCUAUCGUGUAGCAAGGGCCCGUACCGUAAGCCGACACAGGUGGAUGAGGAGAGGAUCCUAAGGCCGGCGGGAGAAGUGUUGUUAAGGAACUCGGCAAAAUGACUCCGUAACUUCGGGAGAAGGAGUGCUGCGCAAGCAGCCGCAGAGAAAUGGCCCAAGCAACUGUUUAGCAAAAACACAGGUCUAUGCGAAACCGAAAGGUGAGGUAUAUGGGCUGACGCCUGCCCGGUGCUGGAAGGUUAAGGGGAGAGCUUAGCGCGAGCGAAGGUUUGAACUUAAGCCCCAGUAAACGGCGGCCGUAACUAUAACGGUCCUAAGGUAGCGAAAUUCCUUGUCGGGUAAGUUCCGACCCGCACGAAAGGCGUAAUGAUUUGGGCACUGUCUCAACAACACACCCGGUGAAAUUGAAAUACCAGUGAAGAUGCUGGUUACCCGCGCCAGGACGGAAAGACCCCAUGGAGCUUUACUCCAGCCUGAUACUGGGAUUCGGUAUUGCAUGUACAGGAUAGGUGGGAGGCUAAGAACUCAUGGCGCCAGCCGUGAGGGAGCCGAUGUUGGGAUACCACCCCUGCAGUACUGGGUUUCUAACCUGCGCCCGUGACCCGGGCGGGGGACAAUGUCAGGCGGGGAGUUUGACUGGGGCGGUCGCCUCCGAAAGGGUAUCGGAGGCGCUCAAAGGUCUCCUCAGGAUGGUUGGAAACCAUCCAGAGAGUGCAAAGGCAGAAGGAGGCUUGACUGCGACACCGACGAGUGGAGCAGGUACGAAAGUAGGACUUAGUGAUCCGGUGGCAUAAAGUGGGAUUGCCAUCGCUCAACGGAUAAAAGCUACCCUGGGAUAACAGGCUUAUCACUCCCAAGAGUUCACAUCGACGGAGUGGUUUGGCACCUCGAUGUCGGCUCAUCGCAUCCUGGAGCUGGAGCAGGUUCCAAGGGUUGGGCUGUUCGCCCAUUAAAGCGGUACGCGAGCUGGGUUCGGAACGUCGUGAGACAGUUCGGUCCCUAUCCGGCGCGGGCGCAGGAUAUCUGAGAGGAGCUGUCCUUAGUACGAGAGGACCGGGAUGGACCGUCCGCUGGUGGACCGGUUGUCAUGCCAAUGGCACGGCCGGGUAGCCAAGACGGGAAGGGAUAAACGCUGAAGGCAUCUAAGCGUGAAGCCCCCCUCAAGAUGAGAUAUCCAUACUCGAAAGAGUGAGAGACCCCUUAGAGACGAUGAGGUAGAUAGGGCAGAGAUGGAAGCACAGCGAUGUGUGGAGUUGACUGUUACUAAUCGGUCGAAAGCUUGACCAU
RNAcentral lists this ribosomal RNA (1402 nucleotides) under metagenome. Its description in RNAcentral is "bacterial LSU rRNA". It matches the Rfam family "Bacterial large subunit ribosomal RNA", at positions 1507 to 2925 of the family's 2925-position model. The record is from RNAcentral.